Molecule: ribosomal RNA, 254 nt
Filed under: uncultured bacterium
Lineage: Bacteria
Description: partial 16S ribosomal RNA
Rfam family: Bacterial small subunit ribosomal RNA
Source: RNAcentral
UACGAAGGGUGCAAGCGUUACUCGGAAUUACUGGGCGUAAAGCGUGCGUAGGUGGUUUGUUAAGUCUGAUGUGAAAGCCCUGGGCUCAACCUGGGAAUUGCAUUGGAUACUGGCAGGCUAGAGUGCGGGAGAGGAGAGUGGAAUUCCUGGUGUAGCGGUGAAAUGCGCAGAUAUCAGGAAGAACACCCGUGGCGAAGGCGGCUCUCUGGAACGCAACUGACGCUGAGACGCGAAAGCGUGGGGGAGCAAACAGG